RNAcentral lists this ribosomal RNA (486 nucleotides) under uncultured bacterium. Its description in RNAcentral is "partial 16S ribosomal RNA". It matches the Rfam family "Bacterial small subunit ribosomal RNA", at positions 30 to 507 of the family's 1533-position model. The record is from RNAcentral.
AUUGAACGCUGGCGGCAUGCCUUACACAUGCCAGUCGAACGGCAGCACGGGUGCUUGCACCUGGUGGCGAGUGGCGAACGGGUGCGUAAUACAUCGGAACAUGUCCUGUAGUGGGGGAUAGCCCGGCGAAAGCCGGAUUAAUACCGCAUACGAUCUACGGCUGAAAGCGGGGGACCUUCGGGCCUCGCGCUAUCGGGUUGGCCGAUGGCUGAUUAGCUAGUUGGUGGGGUAAAGGCCUACCAAGGCGACGAUCAGUAGCUGGUCUGAGAGGACGACCAGCCACACUGGGACUGAGACACGGCCCAGACUCCUACGGGAGGCAGCAGUGGGGAAUUUUGGACAAUGGGCGAAAGCCUGAUCCAGCAAUGCCGCGUGUGUGAAGAAGGCCUUCGGGUUGUAAAGCACUUUUGUCCGGAAAGAAAUCCUUGGCCCUAAUACGGUCGGGGGAUGACGGUACCGGAAGAAUAAGCACCGGCUAACUACGUG